Megalops cyprinoides (Indo-Pacific tarpon) is the source of this 141-nucleotide small nuclear RNA. RefSeq annotates it as U4 spliceosomal RNA. The transcript has a single exon. The record is from RefSeq and is a predicted model, not a curated record. NCBI's taxonomy places the organism in Eukaryota, Metazoa, Chordata, Actinopteri, Elopiformes, Megalopidae.
AUCUUUGCGCAGUGGCAGUAUCGUAGCCUAUGAGGUUUAGCCGAGGCGCGAUUAUUGCUGGUUGAAAACUUAACCCAAUUCCCGUCCAAAGCGACUUGAAAUACAGUCAGCUUUGGCAAUUUUUGAUAGUCUCGUACGAGA